Molecule: RNA transcript, 1938 nt
Organism: Olea europaea var. sylvestris
Lineage: Eukaryota; Viridiplantae; Streptophyta; Magnoliopsida; Lamiales; Oleaceae
Gene name: constitutive photomorphogenesis protein 10-like
Exons: 3
Source: RefSeq, a predicted model, not a curated record
AAUUGCAAUCCAACGUUGGAAAGAAAAGAGGAAAAAUUGGCAGGGACGCCAUAUGAAGGAGGCAUAUUUUUUCUCAAUAUAACAUUUUCUAGUGAUUAUCCGUUUAAACCUCCCAAGGUAAUGCUACAUAACACUCGGAUCACUGACGAUCACCAAGUAGUCUAUUCAUGAUAUUUGUCCUUGAACAACAGGAUUUCCUAUAUCUUGCUUAAUUUUUAUUUUGGAAUAAUGUAGUCUAUGGAUUAUGAUUGGUGGAUGGCCCUUUUCCUUAAUUAGAUAACUUAAGAUUUUGAUAUUUUUUAAUACAUUCUGGGCUAAAAUCAAAAGGUUCAUCUAGCAAGUGUUAACAUUUCACUCUUAGAGGGCCUUGGGCUUUUAGCAUGUGGCCAGUUCCACCUAGACAUACCUUUGCAAUUCUAUCCAUAAGAAGGAUAAGUAAAUCCAGUUGUAUGUCAACUAGGAAGUUCUGAAUUACAGUGUUUGGUUUGAAUUGCAUUUACUUAGAUUGUAAUGUAAGUUCUAUUGAAUGCGACUAAUAUUUGUGAAAUACAAAAUUUUCAAGUUUUUGAAUUACAAUCGAGUUUAUUGGAGUUCUCAUACCAGAAUAUUUUUCAAAAGUAUUCCUGAGGAUUAACUUUGGGGUAUAAAAAAUGGUUACCUCUCUUGGUCUCAAUCCUCAAGUCAUUAUGAUUCUCCCAUACACCUCACCUUUUUCUUUCGUCCUCUGUAUAAUGUUCAUUGUUCUCCCUCCUUUUAAUAUUGACUUUUGACCCCAGGCUUGCAGGUAGUAUUUAAGCCUUUGUUUGGAGCCGAUUUUUUAGGUCAGAAAAAUUCAUUUUUGACCGUUAUCUUUCCAAAUGGGUUCCAACCGUGAGAGACAAAGUCAACAAAAAUGACUUAGACAGGUGACCAACGGUACAAAAAUUCAUCUUUUUCCCCUUAAAAUCGGCUCCAAACAGGGGCCAAGGGCAAUGUUAGUUUGGAUAUCCUGAAAGAUGGCUGGAGCCCUGCUCUGUCAAUCUCAAAAGUGCUACUUUCACUCAGAUCAAUAUUUACGAACCCUGCACCUUUUUUUGGGACCCUUGUGUACUUUUACAACAAACUUCUUAUACAAGGAAACAACACUGUGCUUCUCGACUUUCUGCACCAAUAUUGGUUGAUUUCGUAAUGAAUUGGAUGUCAUCUAACAAAUUUCAUAUAUCCUUCACAUAGACCUUUUUCUUGAUUCUUCCUUCUAUGGUUUCCUCCAGGCAUGCAUCCUUGAUCUUAUUUGAUUGAGAAAACAGCAGCAGAGUUCCCUUGACCUUCAAAAUGGAUCAUUUUAGUCCCCAACCUUUCACUUUUAUAGCACCCUUAGUCCCAAAGGACAUCUGCCAUCAAAAAGGUUAAAAUACAAUAUAGAUUGCUUGGUCGAGAUGGUUAUCUCAUUUCUGGGAAUGAAAUUCUCGUUCUUAUCUUUGCAUGCUUCUGGCAUCCAAAAGAGGCCUAAAUGUUUCACUGGCCUGAUGAUUUCCUACUUUAAUGACCAAUGAAAAGGAGGCAAUGAAGGCAGUUUUAAUUUUUUAUUUGUAGUUUUAGCUGCUGCAGAUAAAUCCCUCUUUCCGGGUAUUGCCCACAUGUACUUAGCAGACGGAGUGAAGCAUGCACACGAACUAGCAGCAGAGUGGAUUCUACGAUUUGCAAGGUAGAAGUCAUGAUGUUGAUUGAGGAUAUACUAGUGCUGUAAGUGGAAAAUCAAUGGUAAACCCAGUAAACCUAUCGCCUAAUUGUGGUGUUUCCAUAUCUCGAUGUUCUCUUUAGGUUAAUAUAUCGUGUUUAUGACUUGUAUUGUAGAUCAUCUGGAUCAAUAUAGGUUACUGUAUUAUGAAAUUUAGUACUUGGAUACUUUUAAUGUCCUUCCUAUGAAACCUAAUGUAGUCACAGCACAAUGUUUUUGUC